GAUGAGUGCUAAGUGUUAGGGGGUUUCCGCCCCUUAGUGCUGCAGCUAACGCAUUAAGCACUCCGCCUGGGGAGUACGACCGCAAGGUUGAAACUCAAAGGAAUUGACGGGGGCCCGCACAAGCGGUGGAGCAUGUGGUUUAAUUCGAAGCAACGCGAAGAACCUUACCAGGUCUUGACAUCCUUUGACCACUCUGGAGACAGAGCUUUCCCUUCGGGGACAAAGUGACAGGUGGUGCAUGGUUGUCGUCAGCUCGUGUCGUGAGAUGUUGGGUUAAGUCCCGCAACGAGCGCAACCCUUGAUUUUAGUUGCCAGCAUUUAGUUGGGCACUCUAAAGUGACUGCCGGUGCAAGCCGGAGGAAGGUGGGGAUGACGUCAAAUCAUCAUGCCCCUUAUGACCUGGGCUACACACGUGCUACAAUGGAUAGUACAAAGGGUCGCGAAGCCGCGAGGUGGAGCUAAUCCCAUAAAACUAUUCUCAGUUCGGAUUGUAGGCUGCAACUCGCCUACAUGAAGCCGGAAUCGCUAGUAAUCGUGGAUCAGCAUGCCACGGUGAAUACGUUCCCGGGCCUUGUACACACCGCCCGUCACACCACGAGAGUUUGUAACACCCGAAGUCGGUAGGGUAACCUUUAUGGAGCCAGCCGCCGAAGGUGGGACAGAUAAUUGGGGUGAAGUCGUAACAAGGUAGCCGUAUCGGAAGGUGCGGCUGGAUCACCUCCUUUCUAAGGAA
This 733-nucleotide ribosomal RNA is filed under the name Listeria monocytogenes. RNAcentral's name for it is "bacterial SSU rRNA". It matches the Rfam family "Bacterial small subunit ribosomal RNA", at positions 808 to 1533 of the family's 1533-position model. Lineage: Bacteria; Bacillati; Bacillota; Bacilli; Caryophanales; Listeriaceae. The record is from RNAcentral.